UCACGUGUGGUAGAGGAGCAUUGUGUGCUGGGAGAAGCUGUACCGUAAGGAGCAGUGGACGGCACAGAAGAGAGAAUGCCGGUAUGAGUAGCGAAAAGAGGGGUGAGAAUCCCCUCCGCCGAAAGUCUAAGGUUUCCUGAGGAAGGCUCGUCCUCUCAGGGUAAGCCGGGACCUAAGCCGAGGCCGAAAGGCGUAGGCGAUGGGUAAUCGGUAGAAAUUCCGAUGCCACUAUUAAUUGCUUGAGUGAGGUGGGGACGCGGUAAGAGAAGCAAUCACGCGAAUGGAAGUGCGUGUAGAAGCCGAAGGUAGGAUGAAGGAGGUAAAUCCCUUUCAUUGCUAACUGUCUGAGGUGAUCUGGAGCCAAAUGAGGUGAAGUUGCUGAUCAAACUGCCAAGAAAAGCCACUAGCGAGAUUAAUAGUGCCCGUACCGCAAACCGACACAGGUAGACAGGGUGAGAAUCCUAAGGCGCGCGAGAGAACCCUUGUUAAGGAACUCGGCAAAAUGACCCCGUAACUUUGGGAGAAGGGGUACCACAACAGGUUAAGAGCUAGUAGUGGUCGAAGAAAAGAGGCCCAAGCGACUGUUUAGCAAAAACACAGGUCUCUGCUAAGUCGUAAGACGAAGUAUAGGGGCUGACGCCUGCCCGGUGCUGGAAGGUCAAGGGGAAUGCUUAGCAUUAAUGCGAAGGUAUGAACCUAAGCCCCAGUAAACGGCGGCCGUAACUAUAACGGUCCUAAGGUAGCGAAAUUCCUUGUCGGGUAAGUUCCGACCUGCACGAAUGGCGUAACGACUUGGGCACUGUCUCAACAAGGGACUCGGCGAAAUUGUAGUACCAGUAAAGAUGCUGGUUACCUGCGACAGGACGGAAAGACCCCGUGGAGCUUUACUGUAGCCUGACAUUGGGUUUUGCUGUAGAACGUACAGGAUAGGUGGGAGGCUUUGAAGUUGGUGCGCUAGCAUCAGCUGAGCCGCAAGUGGGAUACCACUCUUUCUACAGCGGAAUUCUAACCAGAGGCCGUAAUCCGGUCAUGGGACAUUAUCAGGUGGGCAGUUUGACUGGGGCGGUCGCCUCCCAAAAUGUAACGGAGGCGCCCAAAGGUUCCCUCAGUGCGGAUGGAAAUCGCACGUAGAGUGUAAAGGCAAAAGGGAGCUUAACUGUGAGACAUACAGGUCGAACAGGUACGAAAGUAGGGCUUAGUGAUCCGGCGAUAUUGAAUGGAAAAGUCGUCGCUCAACGGAUAAAAGCUACCCCGGGGAUAACAGGCUUAUCUCCCCCAAGAGUUCACAUCGACGGGGAGGUUUGGCACCUCGAUGUCGGCUCGUCGCAUCCUGGGGCUGUAGCAGGUCCCAAGGGUUGGGCUGUUCGCCCAUUAAAGCGGUACGCGAGCUGGGUUCAGAACGUCGUGAGACAGUUCGGUCCCUAUCCGUCGCAGGCGUAGGAUACUUGAGAGGAUCUGUCCCUAGUACGAGAGGACCGGGAUGGACACACCGAUGGUGUAUCGGUUGUUCCGCCAGGAGCAUAGCCGAGUAGCUAAGUGUGGAAUGGAUAAACGCUGAAAGCAU
RNAcentral lists this ribosomal RNA (1564 nucleotides) under microbial mat metagenome. Its description in RNAcentral is "bacterial LSU rRNA". It matches the Rfam family "Bacterial large subunit ribosomal RNA", at positions 1219 to 2780 of the family's 2925-position model. The record is from RNAcentral.